AUUAUUUUUCAUCCUUUUAACCAAGAUCAAGUGUAAUAUCUGUUCUUGUCAUUUAAAUAUCUGGUACAUCUAUAUCCAAGGAUAAUGCAUGAAACUGAUUUUUGGUGCAGAGAGAUAGAAUAGGGGCUUGCUUCAUCCAUGCCAUGCAUUAAUCUAGUAUCUCAGAACUUUCAGAAAUGAUGUGUACCCC
This is a small nuclear RNA of Jaculus jaculus (lesser Egyptian jerboa), 190 nucleotides long. RefSeq annotates it as U2 spliceosomal RNA. The transcript has a single exon. The record is from RefSeq and is a predicted model, not a curated record. NCBI's taxonomy places the organism in Eukaryota, Metazoa, Chordata, Mammalia, Rodentia, Dipodidae.